CUGGCUGGCAGGGGAGGGCAGGUGCUGCCUGCCCACACGGGUCGGGGACGCCGCUGAAAGGGGCCUUGGCAGCGUCGGGUGCGGUGGCGGGAGCGGAGCGGACCCCCCCCGGGCCGCCCCGCGCGCUGGUGUUGCUUCGUCACGCCCCGCUCCUCCCGGCCAGGUCUUAAAUAGGAGACGAUCGUCUUGGAAGGUCGAAAUGUUCGCGUGUGCCGCUAAACUGUCGUCCACUGAGCAAGGAUGCGAAUAAGUCUUUUUCUUCAGUAUUUACUUGAGAUCGCUCGCUGUAACUCUCCAGUGACAACUGGGGCAUCAACGUGGGAGCUCUUUCUUUAUUUCGAGGGUCCACUGCAAGCAAACCCUGUGCUAUGUUUCAAGAUGUCCUGGGAAAAACCUUCAGACUUCUUGGAUAUACCAUUCAGUAUGGCUGCAUAGCACACUGUGCCUUUGAAUACAUUGGAGGAAUUGUUGUGUGUUCUGGACCUUCAAUGCAGCCAACAAUUCAAAAUUAUGAUAUUGUUGUUUUGGACAACCUUAGCCGCCAUUUCUACAGCAUUCAAAAAGGUGAUAUUGUAAUUGCAAAAAGCCCAAGUGACCCAAAAUCAAAUAUCUGUAAAAGAGUAAUUGGCUUGGAAGGAGACAAAGUCUGUACAAGCAGUCCUUCAAAUUUCCUUAAGAGUCAUAGUUAUGUGCCAAAAGGACAUGUAUGGUUGGAAGGUGAUAAUCUCAGGAAUUCUACAGAUUCCAGGUGCUAUGGACCUAUUCCUUAUGGACUGAUAAGAGGACGCAUAUGUUUUAAGAUAUGGCCUCUGAAUGAUUUUGGAUUUCUACGCGCUAGCCCCAAUGGCCAUAGAUUUGUUGAUGAUUAAGACAGCUAUGUGAAUUCUACUAGCUUUAACUUUUUCUACAAAUUCAAAUGAACUUUUUAUUUACAAUAAAUAUAAAAACAUUGUGUGAGAAUGAAUGAUAUCAAAGUUUUUCUGACCUUAGUCCCAUUUUAUUAAAGUGUACAAAGAAGUGCACUGGAGUCACCAAUGGAAAUAAAUGCUUUGCUUAUUCAGCUGACCAUUCAUACAGGGAGAAUAUAGGACCUCUUCUCUUCAAAGGACAGGAGAAAGAGCAAGGUGAAAGAUGUGAACACCUUCUCCUUUUUCAAAGGUUUUUAAAGAAGUUACAGAGGACUGUACUCCAGCACCUUUUGUUCAGUGUUGAAAACAGAGUGGUAAAAAAGGUGACCACACUAGGAGGUCCCAUCAUUUAUCUACUUCACUUGUAUAGGGAAAUAAAACUUAAAAAAGAGGCCACCAGUCACAGGGGGGAAACAAAAGUCACCUUUGUGCCUCCAUAAAAAUUGUUAUGGCAGUACGAAGUGAAAGCAAACAGAGAUCCAUCCUCUCCUUCGCAGCCACAAAUGUUCAAAUUUGUGGCCACGACAGAAGGCAGUAUUAAAUUGGGCACAGACCAUGUCUGUUUGCUUAUAGCAGAAGAGCUCAGGCUGAGUGAAGCUGCCUGGGCUCUCCAUCCUCCCUAGGCAGUGGCUCCAUGGGCUUGAGGGGCAGAGUGCCUGCAUCACUUUCCCACUUGUCCAGACAUGUCUCUCCAGGAGUUGUGCCUGGGUAAGCAAGGACAGCUGGGGCUCUGGGGCAUGCAACCCAUGCAGCAUGCAGAGGGAUUUUCCUGUGCGCUUUCAGAGGAAGGACCCCUGUGUGAGUUCCUACCCAUCCCCCACCAUCUCCACACUUGCAGACCCAUGUGAGAAAAUCCCUUGCAGAGGGAUUUUCUCAAGUGUGCCUGCAAGUGCAGAGGGAGGAAUUCAGGUUCCCCCUCCAUGUUUGCAGGCAAGUGCAAGAAAAUUUCUUGCAGAGGGUUUUUCCUGCGCACCUGCAAAUACAGAGGAGGGAAAUCCAAGUUUUCCUUGCUUGCAUAUGUGCACCAACUUGGGGCACAGCAACCGGGGAUGUCUGUAGAUGUCCCUGAAGCGUGCUAAUGCUCCAAAGAUGACAUAUUGCAACACAACUGAUCAUGCUCCAAAGAUGUCUGUUUCCAGGCACAGAUUUUACAAAGCAGCAUUUGUCAGAGCCAGUGUCCCAUAAAAAGGGAUGUAAGUUAGAGGAGGAUGUUUGCUUGAGAAUGAAAGGGGAGAGGUUACUAUGCAGUCACUUUCAGCACACACUGGAAGCAAACACGAGAGCAGUAGUGACAGAAGGGACAGACUCUCCCAAUCCCCACGUGCUUCCUGCAAUAAAUAUAUUACUCUGUAAAUGAGAGGAGUGGCUGAAAAAUGAGGCCACCGUCUCUCGUACUGGCCCAUAGGAUGGGGUCUGAUGCUUAGGAUUUCAGCUGUGAUUUCCUUCUCCACUAUUGCAGUUAUAAAAUUCUCAACAAGCCAAAUUCAUCUUCCAUGCAAUUCCAAAAUGUGACCAUGUAUCACUGCAACCAAAUCACAGCUAAUCUAAGGUUUCAUCUGCAAUUAUGCCCAACAGCAAUUUGAUAAUUAGGUUACUUUUUUAAAAAGUUAAUUUUAAAUUAGAUUGUCCUCUUCCCUGAGUGAGCCUUCAAACACAGCAUUCAGUCCAGUGUAUUCACUGUCAAUCACUGUACAGUGCUGUUGUUUGCUUCAAUCAGAAGACAUUUAUUUUUCAAAACUGAAUACAUCUGACUUGUUUCUAACUUCUAUUCAACAUGAAAUCUAAUCUAACAUGAUUUAAGCCAAUACAAAUUGAUCAUUAGCUUGGACAGGUAUUUAAUUAUAGAAACUGAAGCCUGAUCUAAAUUUAAGGAAUUUAUUUGUGAGUCUGCAAUUUGUAUUAUUUCACAUUGUUUUAACUAUGUUAGCAUGCAUCUUCCAGUCUUGCCUGGCUGCUGAUUAUUUUGAUGUGAAACUAAUUCAGGUUUCUUAUAGUCUCAAGAUGUAAAAGGUUAUUCAGCACUGAUAUUCAUACCAAUGCUUAGGUCUAUUUUUUAUAUUAAUAAAAAUACAUGCAAUAUC
Molecule: RNA transcript, 2989 nt
Organism: Alligator mississippiensis (American alligator)
Lineage: Eukaryota; Metazoa; Chordata; Crocodylia; Alligatoridae
Gene: IMMP1L
Gene name: inner mitochondrial membrane peptidase subunit 1
Exons: 7
Source: RefSeq, a predicted model, not a curated record